AGAAAGGUCAUGCAGCCUUCAUGCAAUCUCACCCGAAGGGUGUAUUUCCCCAGUGGAACCCCAACCCCUUCCCCAGAGGAGGCCUGGAGGAGGUGGCAGAGGAAGAAAGCGGUGUCUGCUGGGUCACCCAUGUACCCUCUUCUAUCCCUGGGUCCUUGGCAUAUUGGAGCUGCUGCCCUACAUCUCCCUGUUGCCCUGCUCUGAGAAGCAGAAUUUUGAAGAAUCCUGGAGGGCGGGGUGGCCUCAUUUUGGCGGUGGCCUCAUUCCUUGGUGUGCCAGGUAAUAAUAGCACGCCAUGUGUGGGAGGGAUCUCGCUCAGCAUACUGUCCAAGGGGGAAACUGGGCCACAGAACAGCGUGGGAGCCCCACUCAAGGUGACCCAGUAACUGAGGGUACAGACACACGACAUCCUGGGCCCUCUUUCCAUAUGGGAGCUCCAGAAAUGCUUUUGGGGUGGCCUUGGGCCAGUCCUUUGGGCCAUUGGGCAAUGGGGUCACUUCACUCCAAUCAAUUCUUCAUUCACUAAUAGCAUCAAAGAGAAGAUUGAAUUUUAAGAGUAAGUCAGAAAACACUAAGUGAGUCAGCGCUUGGGGGAAUUUGGGAUUUGGGGCCAACAAAACCUGAAGGCCAGAGCUGGUUUCUCCUUAGUUAAUGACUUGCGUUGCAGGCAGUGGACCUCAGUGUCCCCACCUUUGAGAUGGCGGAACAUUCAUUUUGUGGCAGUUAUUGAGUGAGUGCCUGCUGUGGACCCGACUCUGCAGUAGGUCCUGGAGUUCCAAAGAGUGAUUUCAGGUAAAAGUGAGGCAAGAAACAUCUACAAGUCAGAGGGCUGCAUGUACAGCUGUUGUGUUCUCCAACACAAGAAAGUUUGACUUAAUGAUUUUUUAAACUUUAUGACAGUGGGAAAAUGAUUCAAAUUCAUUAGACACCAUGCUCCGAGUUUUGAAUUUGUAUCUUUUCCUAGGCUUUCCAUAUACACUAGAUCCGGAAGAUUUAGAAUUUCUCCUGAUGCUGGGCAACAGCCAUGAGCCACAGCCCCUAGUCAGCUAUUGAAGCCCUUCAUCCAGGUAUUCCAGCUUUCUCUUUGUGUGUGUGUGUGUGUGUGUGUGUGUGUGUGUGUGUGUGAGAGAGAGAGAGAGAGAGAGAGAGAGAGAGAGAGAGAGAGAGAGAUUGUGUGCUGCAUAUAACCACUCUCUUGUCCACAUUCAGUACAGUAUUAAUUAAAUUUCUUUUCUUUUUUAGUUUUUCUUAAACUUUAAAGAUUAAAAUUUUAAAGAUUAAAAAGACUAACAAAAACAACAAUGAAGACAAAAUCAAAACAACACAAAAAUGAUACAUGACCUCAAAACAAAAUGAUAAGACUUAACAAUGGUUGCUACAUUACAUACUGUUAUCUUCAACAAAGUUGCUCAGUCCACCAGACGUAAGAAUGUAAGAUUGAUCAAACAAUCAAAGACAGUAACAAAUAAAAAAAAAAAAAACAUUGGAAAUGAUGCAGAGCUUCACCAUACAAGAUGGUAGGAGUUCAACAAUUUUCUUAUACUGCAUAUUGUUGUCUUCAGAUCAGUCUUUCUGAUUACCAGAUUCCAGCAUGCAAAAUUGGUCAAGAAAAAAGAAAAUUUUAAGCAUUGACUGUUCCUUUCAAUAAAUCACAGACAUCAGCAAUAUAUCUAUCCCAGCUGUCCUUGUACAGAAAGAAGAGAAAAAAUAUGUAUAUGUAUACACAAGAUAGCUAAGAUAAUUGCACUACUAAUAUCUGUUGGUUAUUUGAAAGAAACUGUUAAUGUGUAAUUGUUUGAUCAAUCUUACAUGCCUAUAUCUGGUUAUCUGUGCAACGAUUUUGAAGAUAAUAUUAUGUAAUAUAGCAACCAUUGGUAAUAUCCUAUCACCUUGUUUUGAAAUUCUGUAUCAUUUUUAUUUUUCUCUAGGCUGUUUUGUUUAAGUAUUUGUUUUUGUUAUUUUGGGGUUUUUUUCUUUUCUCUUUAAAAGUAUUACGUAAAUCUCAUGAGCUCUCCAACACUUUAUGGUACAAUAGGCUUUGUGUUUGAUGAUCUUGCCCCAUUUGGGUAAUGCACAACUUCUAAGCAUGUUUAAAGUAGGCUGGACUAACUUAGGAUGUUAGGUGUAUUAAGUAUUGUAAGUUUUGACUUACAAUAUUUUCAAGCUAUGAUGGGUUUCCGUACUCCCCACAAGAACUGAAUGUAGAUGGAAUGUUUCGAGUGCAGAAAGAAUGCAGGGUUUGGAGUCAGGCGGACAGUGUGACCUUAAGCAAAUUUGAAACUCACUGAACCUGUUUUAUUUUUUAAUGAAAAAAUACAAAAUUUGUAACAAAAUAAGAAGAGAAUAACAAGAGUUAAUACACUGCAUAUCAUUAUCUUCAAAGCAGUUGGUAUACAAGAUUCUUUUUUGUUUGUUUGUUUUUUUUCCCGUACCGGGAAUUGAACUCACGACCUUGUGCUUGCCAGGCAGGCACUGUGCUGCUAAGCUAAAUCCCCAGCCCCCAGUAUACAAGAUUCUUGCAAAGAAGAAACAAACAGAUAAUAAUACAAAACUUUCUUUUCAACAAACUAAGAUAAAGCAUAAAUGAAGCAAAUUAACCUUUAAAAAAAAAACAAAAAACAACUGCUAAAUAUAAAUAGGCACAGCCUCAGCCUCUUAGGACUGUUGAGGGUAUUAAAUGAUGUCACAGAUCCAAAGCACAAAGCCUAUGCAUAAUAUGUAUAUAAUAUAUCUCUUCCUUCUUUCUUUACAUGGUAGUAGAGUAUAGAAUAGUAAUGUUAAACUGAUAGACGCUGGGUUUGCCUGAGAACCAAUAAAUCAUCGCUUUUAAUUAGGAUGAAGUUAAUUUUUGUGUUUGGGUAUAUCAAGUAACAGUCUUCUUUAAGGCCUCAGAGAAUGAGAGCUCCCUGUUGGAUACUGGUAAGACCAAUCUCUGGAUGUGGGGAGGCUGAGGCAAGUGAGAGAGGGGUACAUUUUCAAAAGUUGACACGCAUCAAAUCUUUUUUUUUUGGUUUUUUUCUCUGGUACCAGGAACCGAACUCACGACCUUGCGCUUGCCAGGCAGGCGCUUUUGCCGCUGAGCUAAAUCCCCAGCCCUGACACGCAUCAAAUCUUGGUAAUGCACAUCCUGUUUUGGGUUUAUUAUGGGAGUUACAUAUCUGGGAAGAAUGUUUUUCACAAACCCGUGUGCAGAUGCUAGGACAUGGGGCCAUUUACCCAGUGGUUCUUAACCAGGUGUGAUUUUGUCCCCUGUGAGACAUUUGACACCAUCGGGAUGGGUGUUCUGGCAUCUGGUGCUCAGCGUCCUGCAAUGCACAGGACAGCUGCUGUUGCAGAGAACUGUCUGGACCAAAGCAUCAACAGUGCAGGAUUGAAAAAUUCUACCCAAACCCGAAGGUGAGGGAAGGGAUCCCUGAGGGAGGGGACUGACUUGCCAAGGUCAGAAAGCAUCUCUGAUGAUGGAGCUGGGAUGCAAAGUUGAGUCCAGUGAGUAGAUCCAGGUCUUCUAAGGUACCUGGGUGUCUUUGGCUCAUUGUGCAAAGAAAAUCAACUUUCAUCACGUUAAUGAGGUCUUACUCAUUAUCAUUUUUGAGGCUUUUCUCUCUUAUGAUAUCCUAAACGCUGCUUUGGUAAGUCCAGAUUUCCCUACUCUGUGAUUUCUAUGCAUAUGCUGUGUUGUGGUUGCUUCUAGAUGCCCCCUCACCCCAAAAGCCUCAUGGGGUCAUAGCUGGGGAAUUUCAAAGGAGGCUGGGUCAGGGUGUGUGAAUGUGGGUUAAGGGUGUAAUACUGGGAUAUGAGUGGCAUCAAUCAAUAGGCAUGGAGCAGGGAUGGAAUAUAAAGGGACAGAAAGAAGGUAGGCUUGUGGCUGAUGCUUGCUGCUUGCUGCUUGCUGCCUUCUGCCUUCUUCCUGCCACACCAUGAACUACUUCUCUGCAACGCUCCUCUGCCAUGCCCUGCUACCUUGGGGCCAGCUGACUAUGGACCCAAAGCUGUACAAACUGUGAGCUGAAAUAAACCUUUCCUCCUUUGGGUUGUGGGUGUCAGGUAUUUUGUCUCAACAACAAGAAAAGUAACUAAGAUAACCUGAGACCCUUAUAGGCCUUGGGUCUCAUGGAGUCUUCAUGAGGUCCUGGCAUUACUCAGUCCCCUGCUUGCAGGGGUGAGGUGGGUGAACAGUGCUGAGGAAUGGGCAGGUGUGGUUCAUAGGUGCCUGGGGGAGGGAUUAGCCAUCCAUACUGGGGUAAAGAGCCUGUAAUUUGAGAGGGUGGUGAGCUGUCCUUGUUUAUAAGUAGAGAGCCUUUCAAGUGAAGUGUCAGCAGGUGACCCAGGCCUUGGAACACCAGGCCUAGUGGACACCAUGGAUUUGGUUGCCCAAUGAGGGGCAGAAUGUCCUCUUACCCCUGCUGGCUUCUUCUUAUUCCUACUGGACACAGCUGCCAGGGUGGUGGAGGUGCCCCUGGCCAUAGCACCUUCCAGCCUGGGUGAGGUCCCCAGCCCUGGGGCUGGGGGAGAUGAGAGGGUGGGGCAGUGGACUCAUAGAGCUGGUCUUGCACAGGGCUGGCCCCUGCUGGCUGCUGCACCCCCUCAGUCUCACCUCAUCCUGUCCCUUCUGCAUCCCUCUUCUUCACCAGACCAGAUGCCAGACUUCAAAGCCAUCAGCAGUCAGGUGACUCCCAGGGCCAGGACACUGACCUUCUCCCCAGAGCAGCUUCCUCUGGCGAGCACAUGUCUACAGCCACUCCUGAAGGAGAGUCAGCAGGCAUGGCCUCAGCUCGGUUCCUGUUGACUCAGAACCACUUUGAAGAUGUUUACGGAGACUUCUUGGGGAAUGCACCAGGCUGCCUGUCAUCUUGUGGCCAUCUAGAGGUCACCUGAUGAGCAGUGGCUGUUGACACCUGCCCUUGGCUGGGUAGGUGCUCAGUUAGUGCAUGUUGAAUAAAUAUAUGAAAGUCGUGUGUAUUACAGAGUCUGACAGUAAAGGCUAAAGUCAC
This is a long non-coding RNA of Chinchilla lanigera (long-tailed chinchilla), 4991 nucleotides long. The record is from Ensembl. Lineage: Eukaryota; Metazoa; Chordata; Mammalia; Rodentia; Chinchillidae.